UACAUAAGUAACCUGCCCUAGACAGGGGGAUAACUGCUGGAAACGGCAGCUAAGACCGCAUAGGUAUGGACACUGCAUGGUAACCAUAUUAAAAGUGCCAAGGCACUGGUAGAGGAUGGACUUAUGGCGCAUUAGCUGGUUGGUGAGGUAACGGCUCACCAAGGCGACGAUGCGUAGCCGACCUGAGAGGGUGACCGGCCACACUGGGACUGAGACACGGCCCAA
This 225-nucleotide ribosomal RNA is filed under the name uncultured bacterium. RNAcentral describes it as "partial 16S ribosomal RNA". It matches the Rfam family "Bacterial small subunit ribosomal RNA", at positions 114 to 334 of the family's 1533-position model. The record is from RNAcentral.